Molecule: long non-coding RNA, 173 nt
Organism: Amphimedon queenslandica
Lineage: Eukaryota; Metazoa; Porifera; Demospongiae; Haplosclerida; Niphatidae
Exons: 3
Source: RefSeq, a predicted model, not a curated record
AUUAACUAAUAGAGCUAGAACUGAUGUUGUGUCUGAAUAUUCUGGUACUCCAUUACACUGUGCUAGUGAAACUGGUAAUGCUGAUAUUACCAAGUUAUUAAUAACUAAAGGAAAGGCUGAUGUGAAUGCUGCGGAUAAGAACAACAGAACUCCAUUGUUUAAUGCUGUUAAGA